GACGAACGCUGGCGGCGUGCUUAACACAUGCAAGUCGAACGGAAAGGCCCUGCUUUUGUGGGGUGCUCGAGUGGCGAACGGGUGAGUAACACGUGAGUAACCUACCCUUGACUUUGGGAUAACUUCAGGAAACUGGGGCUAAUACCGGAUAGGAGCUCCUGCUACAUGGUGGGGGUUGGAAAGUUUCGGCGGUUGGGGAUGGACUCGCGGCUUAUCAGCUUGUUGGUGGGGUAGUGGCUUACCAAGGCUUUGACGGGUAGCCGGCCUGAGAGGGUGACCGGCCACAUUGGGACUGAGAUACGGCCCAGACUCCUACGGGAGGCAGCAGUGGGGAAUAUUGCACAAUGGGCGGAAGCCUGAUGCAGCAACGCCGCGUGCGGGAUGACGGCCUUCGGGUUGUAAACCGCUUUCGCCUGUGACGAAGCGUGAGUGACGGUAAUGGGUAAAGAAGCACCGGCUAACUACGUG
This 468-nucleotide ribosomal RNA is filed under the name uncultured bacterium. RNAcentral describes it as "partial 16S ribosomal RNA". It matches the Rfam family "Bacterial small subunit ribosomal RNA", at positions 28 to 507 of the family's 1533-position model. The record is from RNAcentral.